GGAGGAGGUCGAGCAGUCGCUCGCCGCCCCGCGCGGUGGGAGGAAAGUCCGGACUCCACAGGGCAGGGUGGCCGCUAGCGGCGGCCCCGAGCGAUCGGGGGAAAGUGCCACAGAAAGGAGACAGCCCCGCGCCGCGAGGCGCGGAGCAACGGUGAAACGGUGAGGUAAGAGCUCACCAGGCCCGCUCGUGAGGGCGGGCACUCGGUAAACCCCACCCGGAGCAAGACCGAGUAGGAGGGAGGCCCGGCCGCGAGGCCGGACGCGGGCUGCCCGUCCGUUCCCUCGGGUCGGUCGCUCGAUCCCUUGGGCAACCGGGGGACCAGAUGAAUGGCUGCUGCUCCCGCCUCUUGAGCGGGAGGACAGAACCCGGCUUACAGACCUCCUCCGGCG
Molecule: RNase P RNA, 390 nt
Filed under: Deltaproteobacteria bacterium
Lineage: Bacteria; Pseudomonadati; Myxococcota; Myxococcia
Description: RNase P RNA component class A
Rfam family: Bacterial RNase P class A
About the family: Ribonuclease P (RNase P) is a ubiquitous endoribonuclease, found in archaea, bacteria and eukarya as well as chloroplasts and mitochondria. Its best characterised activity is the generation of mature 5'-ends of tRNAs by cleaving the 5'-leader elements of precursor-tRNAs.
Source: RNAcentral